GACGAACGCUGGCGGCGUGCUUAACACAUGCAAGUCGAGCGGUAAGGCCCUUUCGGGGGUACACGAGCGGCGAACGGGUGAGUAACACGUGGGUGACCUGCCCUCAGCUCUGGGAUGAGCCUGGGAAACUGGGUCUAAUACCGGAUAUGACUCCAUGACGCAUGUUGUGGGGUGGAAAGCCUUGUGCGGCUGAGGAUGGGCCCGCGGCCUAUCAGCUUGUUGGUGGGGNGAUGGCCUACCAAGGCGACGACGGGUAGCCGGCCUGAGAGGGCGACCGGCCACACUGGGACUGAGACACGGCCCAGACUCCUACGGGAGGCAGCAGUGGGGAAUCUUGCGCAAUGGGCGAAAGCCUGACGCAGCGACGCCGCGUGAGGGAUGACGGCCU
This 388-nucleotide ribosomal RNA is filed under the name uncultured bacterium. Its description in RNAcentral is "bacterial SSU rRNA". It matches the Rfam family "Bacterial small subunit ribosomal RNA", at positions 28 to 417 of the family's 1533-position model. The record is from RNAcentral.